GGUUAAGCGACUAAGCGUACACGGUGGAUGCCCUGGCAGUCAGAGGCGAUGAAGGACGUGCUAAUCUGCGAUAAGCGUCGGUAAGGUGAUAUGAACCGUUAUAACCGGCGAUUUCCGAAUGGGGAAACCCAGUGUGUUUCGACACACUAUCAUUAACUGAAUCCAUAGGUUAAUGAGGCGAACCGGGGGAACUGAAACAUCUAAGUACCCCGAGGAAAAGAAAUCAACCGAGAUUCCCCCAGUAGCGGCGAGCGAACGGGGAGGAGCCCAGAGCCUGAAUCAGUGUGUGUGUUAGUGGAAGCGUCUGGAAAGGCGCGCGAUACAGGGUGACAGCCCCGUACACAAAAAUGCACAUGCUGUGAGCUCGAUGAGUAGGGCGGGACACGUGGUAUCCUGUCUGAAUAUGGGGGGACCAUCCUCCAAGGCUAAAUACUCCUGACUGACCGAUAGUGAACCAGUACCGUGAGGGAAAGGCGAAAAGAACCCCGGCGAGGGGAGUGAAAAAGAACCUGAAACCGUGUACGUACAAGCAGUGGGAGCCUCUUUUAUGGGGUGACUGCGUACCUUUUGUAUAAUGGGUCAGCGACUUAUAUUCUGUAGCAAGGUUAACCGAAUAGGGGAGCCGAAGGGAAACCGAGUCUUAACUGGGCGUUAAGUUGCAGGGUAUAGACCCGAAACCCGGUGAUCUAGCCAUGGGCAGGUUGAAGGUUGGGUAACACUAACUGGAGGACCGAACCGACUAAUGUUGAAAAAUUAGCGGAUGACUUGUGGCUGGGGGUGAAAGGCCAAUCAAACCGGGAGAUAGCUGGUUCUCCCCGAAAGCUAUUUAGGUAGCGCCUCGUGAAUUCAUCUCCGGGGGUAGAGCACUGUUUCGGCAAGGGGGUCAUCCCGACUUACCAACCCGAUGCAAACUGCGAAUACCGGAGAAUGUUAUCACGGGAGACACACGGCGGGUGCUAACGUCCGUCGUGAAGAGGGAAACAACCCAGACCGCCAGCUAAGGUCCCAAAGUCAUGGUUAAGUGGGAAACGAUGUGGGAAGGCCCAGACAGCCAGGAUGUUGGCUUAGAAGCAGCCAUCAUUUAAAGAAAGCGUAAUAGCUCACUGGUCGAGUCGGCCUGCGCGGAAGAUGUAACGGGGCUAAACCAUGCACCGAAGCUGCGGCAGCGACGCUUAUGCGUUGUUGGGUAGGGGAGCGUUCUGUAAGCCUGUGAAGGUGUGCUGUGAGGCAUGCUGGAGGUAUCAGAAGUGCGAAUGCUGACAUAAGUAACGAUAAAGCGGGUGAAAAGCCCGCUCGCCGGAAGACCAAGGGUUCCUGUCCAACGUUAAUCGGGGCAGGGUGAGUCGACCCCUAAGGCGAGGCCGAAAGGCGUAGUCGAUGGGAAACAGGUUAAUAUUCCUGUACUUGGUGUUACUGCGAAGGGGGGACGGAGAAGGCUAUGUUGGCCGGGCGACGGUUGUCCCGGUUUAAGCGUGUAGGCUGGUUUUCCAGGCAAAUCCGGAAAAUCAAGGCUGAGGCGUGAUGACGAGGCACUACGGUGCUGAAGCAACAAAUGCCCUGCUUCCAGGAAAAGCCUCUAAGCAUCAGGUAACAUCAAAUCGUACCCCAAACCGACACAGGUGGUCAGGUAGAGAAUACCAAGGCGCUUGAGAGAACUCGGGUGAAGGAACUAGGCAAAAUGGUGCCGUAACUUCGGGAGAAGGCACGCUGAUAUGUAGGUGAAGUCCCUCGCGGAUGGAGCUGAAAUCAGUCGAAGAUACCAGCUGGCUGCAACUGUUUAUUAAAAACACAGCACUGUGCAAACACGAAAGUGGACGUAUACGGUGUGACGCCUGCCCGGUGCCGGAAGGUUAAUUGAUGGGGUCAGCGCAAGCGAAGCUCUUGAUCGAAGCCCCGGUAAACGGCGGCCGUAACUAUAACGGUCCUAAGGUAGCGAAAUUCCUUGUCGGGUAAGUUCCGACCUGCACGAAUGGCGUAAUGAUGGCCAGGCUGUCUCCACCCGAGACUCAGUGAAAUUGAACUCGCUGUGAAGAUGCAGUGUACCCGCGGCAAGACGGAAAGACCCCGUGAACCUUUACUAUAGCUUGACACUGAACAUUGAGCCUUGAUGUGUAGGAUAGGUGGGAGGCUUAGAAGUGUGGACGCCAGUCUGCAUGGAGCCGACCUUGAAAUACCACCCUUUAAUGUUUGAUGUUCUAACGUUGACCCGUAAUCCGGGUUGCGGACAGUGUCUGGUGGGUAGUUUGACUGGGGCGGUCUCCUCCUAAAGAGUAACGGAGGAGCACGAAGGUUGGCUAAUCCUGGUCGGACAUCAGGAGGUUAGUGCAAUGGCAUAAGCCAGCUUGACUGCGAGCGUGACGGCGCGAGCAGGUGCGAAAGCAGGUCAUAGUGAUCCGGUGGUUCUGAAUGGAAGGGCCAUCGCUCAACGGAUAAAAGGUACUCCGGGGAUAACAGGCUGAUACCGCCCAAGAGUUCAUAUCGACGGCGGUGUUUGGCACCUCGAUGUCGGCUCAUCACAUCCUGGGGCUGAAGUAGGUCCCAAGGGUAUGGCUGUUCGCCAUUUAAAGUGGUACGCGAGCUGGGUUUAGAACGUCGUGAGACAGUUCGGUCCCUAUCUGCCGUGGGCGCUGGAGAACUGAGGGGGGCUGCUCCUAGUACGAGAGGACCGGAGUGGACGCAUCACUGGUGUUCGGGUUGUCAUGCCAAUGGCACUGCCCGGUAGCUAAAUGCGGAAGAGAUAAGUGCUGAAAGCAUCUAAGCACGAAACUUGCCCCGAGAUGAGUUCUCCCUGACUCCUUGAGAGUCCUGAAGGAACGUUGAAGACGACGACGUUGAUAGGCCGGGUGUGUAAGCGCAGCGAUGCGUUGAGCUAACCGGUACUAAUGAACCGUGAGGCUUAACCUU
Molecule: ribosomal RNA, 2904 nt
Filed under: Escherichia coli
Lineage: Bacteria; Pseudomonadati; Pseudomonadota; Gammaproteobacteria; Enterobacterales; Enterobacteriaceae
Description: 23S ribosomal RNA
Rfam family: Bacterial large subunit ribosomal RNA
Source: RNAcentral